AUGCUCUGGCUUCGCCACAUAUCGUGAUUUUCUUUCGCCUUUUACUAAAGAAAACCGUGUGGAGGAGCCGCUAUGAGCCGUAAUUAAUUUUUGGAGCUUCUUCGGAAGCAU
This is a small nuclear RNA of Hypsibius dujardini, 111 nucleotides long. It matches the Rfam family "U5 spliceosomal RNA". Rfam says of the family: U5 RNA is a component of both types of known spliceosome. NCBI's taxonomy places the organism in Eukaryota, Metazoa, Tardigrada, Eutardigrada, Parachela, Hypsibiidae. The record is from Rfam.